This 148-nucleotide non-coding RNA is filed under the name Homo sapiens (human). The record is from Rfam by way of RNAcentral. Lineage: Eukaryota; Metazoa; Chordata; Mammalia; Primates; Hominidae.
GCCGGGCAUGGUGGCGCAUGCCUGUAAUCCCAGCUACUAGGGGGGCUGAGGUAGGAGGAUUGCUUGAACCUGGGAGGUGGAGGUUGCAGUGAGCCGAGAUUGUGCCACUGCACUCCAGCCUGGGCAACAGAGCAAGACUCCGUCUCAA